CCUACGGGAGGCAGCAGUGAGGAAUUUUCCGCAAUGGGCGAAAGCCUGACGGAGCAAUACCGCGUGAGGGAUGAAGGAUUUUGGUCUGUAAACCUCUUUUCUCAAGAAAGAAGUUCUGACGGUACUUGAGGAAUAAGCAUCGGCUAACUCCGUGCCAGCAGCCGCGGUAAUACGGGGGAUGCAAGCGUUAUCCGGAAUGAUUGGGCGUAAAGCGCCUGUAGGUUGUUUAUUAAGUCCGUUGUUAAAGCCUAGGGCUCAACCCUAGAAAAGCAAUGGAAACUAGUAGACUAGAGUAUGGCAGGGGUAGAGGGAAUUUCUAGUGUAGCGGUGAAAUGCGUAGAUAUUAGAAAGAACACCGGUGGCGAAAGCGCUCUACUGGACCAUUACUGACACUCAGAGGCGAAAGCUAGGGUAGCAAAAGGGAUUAGAUACCCCUGUAGUCCUAGCCGUAAACGAUGGAUACUAGAUGUUGUGCAUUAUGUACAGUAUCGUAGCUAACGCGUUAAGUAUCCCGCCUGGGGAUACGCUCGCAAGGGUGAACUCAAAUGAAUUGACGGCUGGAAGAGUGCGAGACGACGACGAGGGAGGAGG
This 591-nucleotide ribosomal RNA is filed under the name uncultured bacterium. Its description in RNAcentral is "bacterial SSU rRNA". It matches the Rfam family "Bacterial small subunit ribosomal RNA", at positions 338 to 951 of the family's 1533-position model. The record is from RNAcentral.